RNAcentral lists this small RNA (37 nucleotides) under Romboutsia ilealis. RNAcentral describes it as "CRISPR spacer". Lineage: Bacteria; Bacillati; Bacillota; Clostridia; Peptostreptococcales; Peptostreptococcaceae. The record is from RNAcentral.
AUUAUAACAUGUCUGGUUCUAGUUGCUAGUAUUGUAA